AUAAACGCUGGCGGCGUGCUUUAUGCAUGCAAGUCGAACGGUCUCGAUUUAUCGAGAUAGUGGCAAACGGGUGAGUAACGCGUAAGUAACCUGUCCCUAAGUAGAGGAUAACUCUGAGAAAUUAGAGUUAAUACUGUAUGUGAUGCUGGAGGUAAAGCUCCAGCAUUAAAGCCUUCGGGCGCUUGGGGAGGGGCUUGCGUCCGAUUAGCUAGUUGGUAGGGUAACGGCUUACCAAGGCAGUGAUCGGUAGCUGGUUUGAGAGGACAUCCAGCCACACUGGGACUGAGAUACGGCCCAGACUCCUACGGGAGGCAGCAGCAAGGAAUUUUGUGCAAUGGGCGAAAGCCUGACACAGCGACGCCGCGUGGGGGAUGAAGAUCUUCGGAUUGUAAACCCCUUUUCCCAGGGAAGAACAAUGACGGUACCUGAGGAAUAAGUCUUGGCUAACUACGU
RNAcentral lists this ribosomal RNA (453 nucleotides) under uncultured bacterium. RNAcentral describes it as "bacterial SSU rRNA". It matches the Rfam family "Bacterial small subunit ribosomal RNA", at positions 29 to 506 of the family's 1533-position model. The record is from RNAcentral.